This is a non-coding RNA of Xylaria telfairii, 112 nucleotides long. The record is from the annotation of a GenBank genome assembly. Lineage: Eukaryota; Fungi; Ascomycota; Sordariomycetes; Xylariales; Xylariaceae.
GGCAACGUGGCUGAGUGGUUAAAGCGUAUGACUAGAAUUUAUGUGAUAAAUGUAUCAUAUCCAGGCUUAUCAUAUCCCUUCGGGGUCACAGGUUCGAGUCCUGUCGUUGUCG